UGACAGGCAACAUCAUUCAGGCUCCUUAGUUCCACCUGCUCACUGGAGCAGCAUGUCAAAAGAUCAAAAGAUGUAGCAGAACACACUGAGUAGAAUGCUUUAAAGCAAUAGCUAAGGCUCUCCACAAGGGGGUGUUGUUAGAGAACGCAUAGGCUGCCUGUGAUCCAGGAGUUCCCCUGCGGGCCAUAAUGAAGCCAUUGGGUCUCUUGCUGGAACCUCAUAA
Non-coding RNA from Electrophorus electricus (electric eel), 223 nucleotides. The record is from RefSeq and is a predicted model, not a curated record. NCBI's taxonomy places the organism in Eukaryota, Metazoa, Chordata, Actinopteri, Gymnotiformes, Gymnotidae.